This 427-nucleotide ribosomal RNA is filed under the name uncultured bacterium. RNAcentral's name for it is "partial 16S ribosomal RNA". It matches the Rfam family "Bacterial small subunit ribosomal RNA", at positions 355 to 774 of the family's 1533-position model. The record is from RNAcentral.
UGGGGAAUAUUGGACAAUGGGCGAAAGCCUGAUCCAGCCAUGCCGCGUGUGUGAAGAAGGUCUUCGGAUUGUAAAGCACUUUAAGUUGGGAGGAAGGGCAUUAACCUAAUACGUUAGUGUUUUAACGUUACCGACAGAAUAAGCACCGGCUAACUCUGUGCCAGCAGCCGCGGUAAUACAGAGGGUGCAAGCGUUAAUCGGAAUUACUGGGCGUAAAGCGCGCGUAGGUGGUUUGUUAAGUUGGAUGUGAAAUCCCCGGGCUCAACCUGGGAACUGCAUUCAAAACUGACUGACUAGAGUAUGGUAGAGGGUGGUGGAAUUUCCUGUGUAGCGGUGAAAUGCGUAGAUAUAGGAAGGAACACCAGUGGCGAAGGCGACCACCUGGACUAAUACUGACACUGAGGUGCGAAAGCGUGGGGAGCAAACA